Molecule: small nuclear RNA, 164 nt
Filed under: Echinops telfairi (small Madagascar hedgehog)
Lineage: Eukaryota; Metazoa; Chordata; Mammalia; Afrosoricida; Tenrecidae
Description: U1 spliceosomal RNA (ENSETEG00000020859.1)
Rfam family: U1 spliceosomal RNA
About the family: U1 is a small nuclear RNA (snRNA) component of the spliceosome (involved in pre-mRNA splicing). Its 5' end forms complementary base pairs with the 5' splice junction, thus defining the 5' donor site of an intron. There are significant differences in sequence and secondary structure between metazoan and yeast U1 snRNAs, the latter being much longer (568 nucleotides as compared to 164 nucleotides in human).
Source: RNAcentral
AUACUCACCUGGCAGGGGAGAUACCAUGAUCACAAAGGUGGUUUUCCCAGGGUGAGGCUUAUCCAUUGCACUCCAGGUGUGCUGACCCCUGCGAUUUCCCCAAAUCUGGGAAACUCAACUGCAUAAUUUGUGAUAGUGGGGGACUGCGUUCACGCUAUUCCUUG